AGAGACAGCAGCCGCCGCGGGAAUACGAAGGGGGCUAGCGCUGUUCGGAUUUACUGGGCGUAAGCGCACGUAGGCGGAUCCUUAAGCCAGAGGUGAAAGCCCAGGGCUCAACCCUGGAAUUGCCUUUAAGACUGCCGAGCUAGUAGGUGAGAGAGGUGGGUGGAAUUCCGAGUGUAGAGGUGAAAUUCGUAGAUAUUCGGAAGAACACCAGUGGCGAAGGCGGCUCACUGGCUCAUUCUAGACGCUGAGGUGCGAAAGCGUGGGGAGCAAACAGGAUUAGAUACCCCAGUAGUCCCUGUCUCUUAUACA
RNAcentral lists this ribosomal RNA (309 nucleotides) under uncultured bacterium. RNAcentral describes it as "partial 16S ribosomal RNA". It matches the Rfam family "Bacterial small subunit ribosomal RNA", at positions 504 to 808 of the family's 1533-position model. The record is from RNAcentral.